UACAGAGGGUGCGAGCGUUGUUCGGAAUCACUGGGCGUAAAGGGCGCGUAGGCGGCCGAUCAAGUCGGGGGUGAAAGCCUGUGGCUCAACCACAGAAUUGCCUUCGAUACUGGUUGGCUUGAGACCGGAAGAGGUAAGUGGAACUGCGAGUGUAGAGGUGAAAUUCGUAGAUAUUCGCAAGAACACCAGUGGCGAAGGCGGCUUACUGGUCCGGUUCUGACGCUGAGGCGCGAAAGCGUGGGGAGCAAACAGG
This 253-nucleotide ribosomal RNA is filed under the name uncultured bacterium. Its description in RNAcentral is "partial 16S ribosomal RNA". It matches the Rfam family "Bacterial small subunit ribosomal RNA", at positions 524 to 776 of the family's 1533-position model. The record is from RNAcentral.